GUAAAAACUGGUUUUAAUGUGACCCAUUAUCCAUGAUUUGCCUUCAUCGGCAGAUGCAGAUCAGCCACAUGUCACGGAGAUGGUUCAGCUGUCACCACUUGGCCCAGUGGGUCUCGGUAUCACCUUCUGUAAUGAAAGCACACACUUCCCAAACUUCUAAAUGAGAACCGGGAUCUGCCAAGAAAACCAUCGACAUCCAUCCCUCCCUCGACUCUCCGACGGGGAAGCAGGAAGAUGCUAAUUUCUGGGUUAUUCCUUCAAAAAUGCAUCAUCCCUGCAUAGCGAAACAAGUCAUCUUGCAAGUCAGUAUUCACAGCAAAUCAUCCAAUAGAUACUGAGAU
Molecule: long non-coding RNA, 341 nt
Organism: Acanthopagrus latus (yellowfin seabream)
Lineage: Eukaryota; Metazoa; Chordata; Actinopteri; Spariformes; Sparidae
Exons: 3
Source: RefSeq, a predicted model, not a curated record